GAUGUUUCUUCAGCUCAUGCUGUUUUGCUGGUGAAUUUGCUGCCAUUGUGGAACUUCUUCACAAAGCCAUUUCAGCCUGAAGGCAGUGAAGGAGAAUCAGCAGAGAGAACUGCAGAGCAGCCCUUUCUCAAAGGAGAGCAGCCCCAGCAAGUCCUGCUGGAUGCCAAAGGCUGGGAUACCACCAGCCACGUGCACCAUCAGGGACAGAGCUGCUGCUGGAAAGCAGUGCGUUCAACACUGGCAUUAGUGCCAGAGGAAGAGACCUGAGAUGGAUCCCAAACACCAACAGGAACUUUGCAUCUGAGCAUCACUGCUGACAAACUUGGGUGCUCUACUUGCAUGGCUGAUGGUGAAGACCCUCACAAUGCCAUUGAUAGAACGGAAGACCAAAUACCAGUAAAUCUCUGGUGAAGUAUUGAUCCUUGCACACUCCUCUCAAUUUGUUACCUUAAAGACCCAAUGUGGGGGAGCCCUUUAUGAGGUGAAAACCCACCUCCUCCCUCUAGAAAUAACCUGCAAAUGUGAUUUGCCUCACCAAGGGAUGUGUGCUAGUCUGUUCUUCAGAGAGCUCCUCUGACCUGAUGCUAAGCACCAUGUCACAUGAGUGCAGGCAUCACCACCUGUCCUGCACUGCCCAUGGGCAGUACCAAUGGCAGCACUUCACUGACUGCUGCAUGACCAAACCCAAAUUGUUUUCCCACAUCUGCUAUACCACUGAGGUUAAAAUUGGGCUCCGAUCAUUAAGGAUACCUUGAAAUGUGCCUUGUAUUCCAAUGAAAGAUUUUCAGCUGAAACUCCUUUUUACACCCCAAUUUGAUAGGAAAAAAAUGAGGCUUUCCUUAUCACGAUUGUACAGUAUGAAACAAAUUGCUUCACAUUAUGAUUCCCUCCACUUUAAAUUGUCCCAUUGUUUAGACUGGAGAUGGCUGACAGUUUCUUCAUUUAUCUUUCGUAGUCUAACACUGCAGUGGAAAUAUUCAAGGCAUUAGGCUGGUGCUGAUUUGUCAGCCUUGACCUUCUGCCACAUUAGCUCAUUGCAAACCUGACACUCUUCAUUUCGCAGCUGUAGAUUCUUUUCUGAGCUCUCUGAGUCAAGAUUAGCCACCACUGUUUAUGUGAACGAUAUAUGGGCAUGUAUCAAAAGCUGACAUACAAUGUUCUUUUUCACACCGGAACCUUUAUUCACCAACUUGUGUUCUACAACAGAAAUACAUCUUAUUGUUCCCAGCUCAUAACUAAAUUUAAUUGCUAUUUGUUUAAUCUCUGAUAUAUGUUACAGACUUUGCCUGCCUUAAUAAGAGCUGUUACACAACAGACCAGCCUAUACUUGAAAGGAGCAGUGAGUUCAUACUAUCCAGUGAUCAGAAUUAGCCUGUGUGGGGUAUGAUGGUGGUUUCCUCUAAAAAAUGAGGUUGGUCAGCUUUAGAUUCAGACAUGGUUUUAGGAGAGAUUUGCAAUUGUUGGAGCUGAGGUCUUAUUAAUCAGGCUUGCAAAUCUGAAGCUAACACUAGGGUGUAAGCACUUCUGUGAGUGCUGGAAAUUUAUCUGAUAUUCAAUUUAAAUUCAGUAAAUCUAAGUGCUUGUGCUAGAAAAGAAAGUUUUAGGUGGUUUGUGCAAAACCAAAGUGUUUUGGAAUCAGCUGAGGACUAGACUUCUGUAGGCAAAGGUCAUGAGCUGAACUAGAACUUUCCCACAGAGUUUUUCCCCUUGUUUUUGAAUGUCUUUUCCAAUCUAGAUGAUGUUAUGAUUCUAUGAUUUCAGCAGCAUUACCUAAUACUCAAGUUAAAGUUGUUGGUUUUACUUUCAUUGAGUGACAGUGACAAUAUUAUUUGAUUCAUAUUGUAUGGAGCAGAAGUAAAAAUAUACGAUCAUUUAGUAAAAGUUACUUUUGGAAUUAGUGUGUAUAAUUGAUUGUGAGCCAGGAAUAACUUUUAGAGUGGAGCCAGGAUCUCCUGCUUGACAGCUGGGCUGAGUGAUGAGUAUAAAGGGUUACAGCCUUUUCUAAUUGAGGCUCCUGCAUACAAACAGGGAGUGAACAUGUUUGGUCUGUUCAUGCUAUUCUUAGGCACUGCUGGUUGCCAUCUAGAGACCCACCAGCAUUGUGAUAUCUUGUUUAGAUAACAUCUUUUGUGGAAAAUUAAAAAAAAAAAGAAGGUUACUAGGAUGAUCAGGAAAGAUUUGGGUGAGUUGGGAAAUGAUUGCAGUCUACAGAAGCCUAAAAUCCUAUUGACUUUCAGAUGCCAGAAAGGCCUGCUCAUGUCUGCAAGAUGAGUUUCUCAUGGCUCUGUGAUGAUAAUGUGUUGAUCCUUAUCCAGCAUGAGCUAUCUACAUCAUCUUCCUUGACUGCUAAGCUCUCAGAGCAAACACUGCUGCUGAGGAACAAAAGUAAGGUUUUCAGACUCGUUUUGGGAAGAAUCUUUCUCAUCCACCACUGCAAGCUGUAGAGGAAAUCGAGUUCACCAACAAGUGUCUUCAUCCUGCUCUGGAGCAGAAGAAAACCGUGAUUACCUGGCAGCCAUUAGUUUACCUGUAGUGGGAGGUAAGGAUGGUAAUUCCCCGCAAGAAUGUUUCACAUCUUUUCUCUAACUCAAAAUAAUAUAUUAAUCUCUAUUACCAUUUUAAUCCAUGCAAAACAGAGAUGAGGGGAUGCAACAUUUUACUCAUUUCCCAUUUUCCAGUAACUGUAAUUUACAUUGAGCAGUAAAUUGCCAGACAAUUGAAAAUAGCACAAAGUAAAUGCUUCCUAAAAUGCUUUAAUAUGAGAGCUAGUAGCUGUAAUGUAAGUUUCCUGUUAACUCGGUUCACUCUAAAGUGAUAGUUAAUUGGAUAAGGAAGGUAUGUAUUCAAAUAUGCCUAAACUUAAUAAACCUGUCUGGAGAGGACGGUAUUAGUGGAAAGCCACAGACCUUUUAGCUUGUUUGUGCAUAAGCACCUUUGCUAACCAUAGAACUUGUAUGAUUUAGGUGCCAUUAUUCUUUUUGUCAACAUGCAGACAAAUUCUAGUAGUAGUGGAAAACCUAAAAAUAUUAAGUUUACUUAAUAAAACCUAUUAAAAUGGGUGGCAUGGAACUGAAUUAUUUCAGCUGGAAUAUAUACACCGGGGAAAAGCAAGAUCUUGAAUAUUCACAUUACAGCUCAUUGAAAAGGCAAUGGGCUAUGCAACAAGAUUGACAACAAAGGGAAAAAUGAUGAGGAAAAUUGCCUUACUUAUCUGCUAGAGUGCUCUUGACUGCCAACUGUAAUUUUAUGGUUCAUUAUAUAAAAAAAUACCAUUAAUGUUAGUACUUGUGUAUCAUAAUCAUACAAAGAAGGGAAAAAGUUCAUUGAAAUGUGCUCCAUUUUUAAUCAAGACACUAUAAUUGUGUGUUUUUCAGGCACCAUCAAUUUCCAUCAAUUUUACUGCUGCAAAAAUAAUGUGCUGCUGUAGUUCUUCCAAAGGUCAAUUUCUGCAUGAGGUAUAUCGACUGCAGGGAUGUAAACUGUAAAUAAACAGCUGCAUAAUUUAUCUUCUUUGAUAUUACUUGAUUCAUCAUGAGCUUUAAGUUGAUCAGCAAAGAAAAUGGAAUCACUGCCUUGAAAUUUCAUGGUGCAUCAGAUAACUUAGAAAUGAUAGGGACUUUGGUUAUAUAAAUGUUGCUAUAUAGAAUGUCAGGCAACAGCCAAUAUUAGCAUUGCAGAGCCAAUAUUACACAGCAAAUGUAUCUGUCAACCUCUCUGUGUGCUUUUACUAGUUUUGAAAAUCCCAGAAUGGAUCGAGUUGUCUGAAGCACUGGCAGGUUCUCAUUGCAAUGUGUGCCGUGCAGUGAGGGAUAUCUGGUAUUACCCCAAAACUGUGACCAUCUGAAACUUUAGUUCCUUGCACCUAUGGGGGAACAAUGGGGCUAUUAUGACUUGUCCUUUGUUGUUUUUUGUUUUAUUUGGUUGGUUGGUUGGUUUUUAAAGGGGACAGUGCAUGAUACAGGGAAAUUUGGAGCAUGCAGAUAGUUUCGUGCAGAACAAGUUUUCAGAAUUAGUAAUGCUUGUGUUAUUUCAGUACAGUGUCAAGGACCAAGCGUAGUCAGAGGAGAUUCUGUGCCCCAAGGACUUUCUUCUCAAGAACACGGAGAUGAUUCCCAGAUGAUAAUUUUCCCAGCUAGGGGCUGUUCAGGCUGUCUUUAUUCCAUAGCUCUGUGAUAGAUAGGCCUUGAGAAAUUGCUGCACUUUUCUCUUGGGAGCACACUCUUGAGUUUUCAAGCCUGGGUGUGGCAAUUUCUGUUUAGACUUCACAAUUGGCCACUGGAGAACAUAGAGUCCAUGGCAGAUAUCUCAGUGCAGACUCUUAAGUCUGUCUUUUGUCUACUGGGACAGAAUUCUGAAGAGUGGUCUGUCCCCUUGGUUAAAGCAAGAAAGGCAGCGUUAAGUUUCUUAACUUCAUAACACUCCCUCUCAGACUACUUCAGUCACAGCUUAUUUGCAUCACCUGGAAGAGGCAGUGGUACACACUACAGCCACAAAGAAAAUAAUUUUCUCCCUAUUAUCUGUCUUUAACAAAGCAGGAAAAUCCCAAUAUGCUGGAAAAGGCAUCUGCUGGGUAACUUAUGUUAGUGCAAAGGGGUCAUCGAGCCAGCAUUGCUGGGUCAGUACAUUUGUGUAACAUGUCAUCUGUACUGGUGUAAGACACUAUUAGAAUUGUGUUGCUUUGAUGACAUAUUACUUGAUGAAAUAAGAUCAGCUGUCAAAAACCCAUUCCAGUGUCUGAGGCACUCAAUGUUUUGUUGGGGGAAAAGGUUUGUUUCAUUCCUGAAAAAAAUGCAUUAUUCAGUAUGGAGAACUGAAGGGCAGUCAGGCUGAAGCUGAGAGGCUUCAUGAAGGCAGACAAGUCCCCUUGAAAUCCCACUGCUUAGCCAGGGUGGUAGGGCCUAGGGCAUGGGGAGCAGUCUCUGUCCCUGGAGGUGCUCCAGUACUGAUGUGGCACUGAGGGACAUGGUCAGUGGGCAUGGUGGGGAUGGGUUGGGGUUAGACUUGAGGAUCUCAAUGGUCUUUGCCAACCUUAACGAUUCCAUGAUUCUGUGAUCUCCUGCAGCUCAUCAAUAGACCUGAAAUAGCUGAAAUAAUGCACACAUUUAUGCCUAUUUGGGGAUAAAUGUCACCACAGACCUAACACCUUCACAGCGUCCCAUCCAGCAGCAGAUGCUGAGCAGCAUAAUGCAGAACAGAAUCUCCCUUUUCCUGCCCCACCAGAAGGGAAUGUCUGGGAUAAUGCCUUGCAAAUCUCGCCAUGAAAACAUGCCAUUAUUCCCCGUGUAUGAUUAGUCUUUCAUGCUUCCCUUGUUACAAAUACGUAACACAUGCUACGGCACAGAAUGUGAUAAUGUAUUCUAAUGCGAUCUUUAAUGCUGAUAUUUAAAAACCUGUUCCUGAGUAGCACAAUUUGAGUUUCACACGAAUGUACCGCUACCAUUUUUUCCUGUUUUAAAGCACAAAGUCUUUCCGGCAAAAGGUAGGCAUUAUGUCAAUCCGCUUUUGCUCCUUUCUUCCUUCAGUUAUGUGCAGUUAAAUGUUUUCUUCAUCUUCUAGGGGGAAAAUGAAUGAAUUAUUCUAGAACAAUGCACACCGCAGUGUGUGUUUGUGUGUAUUGGUGAGUCAAAACGCAAACAUUGAGAGAAGACAUUCUCAUUUGUUUCCAUCCCAGUUUUAAGUGAUAUUUUAGGAAGCAAUCAUAAUAAAGAGAGCUGAAGGAGCUGAAGGAAUUAUUUCUCAGUUAGACAGCAGCCUGCUGUUAUCUCUAAUCUAAGAGGCACUGGAUAGAGGUCAUCGUUUGAUCAAUGAGGUGAAUUUCAUUUUAUGGUGCUGAAAACAGACAGAGAAUGGUACAAUCGAGUGCUUUCAAAAAGAAAACAGAAGCAGUAAGAGAGUGAUGGAAGAACCGUAACAAAAAUAAACAGGUUUAUUGCUAUAUUAAGCCUGUUUUACAAGGACUCCAUAGUGCAGAAAGAGGAUGUCACCCAACUGUAGCCCCCCAUAUAGACAGGAUUUAUAGACACGUUGACUGUCUUGUGGACAAAUGGGGUUAAUGCGGUACACUGCUACAUUCAAAGAUUAUCUCCCAUAAAGGAUAAGCAAUUGAGUUUCCACACUGAAGCAGUAAUGCAGUGUGACUUUCAGGAGUCCCCACGCAGAGGUGCUGGCAGCAUUGACACUUCCUUGCUGUCCGAAGUGCAGUGUGUUCCUCCGCAGUGGGUUAUCUCCACGGUGCUUUUUGCCAUCUCCAGCUUUUGCAGGUGCUCAGGGUGCAAUGCAGACUGGCCAGGUUUUACUUGCAGCACUGUCUGAAAUGGAUUGAGAAGCCUGAGUUAAUCGUUUCCUAUUGAGGUUUUAUAGCUCAUUCGGAGUAUUGAGCACAGGCAUGUUGUCAUGGUAAUUGAGCAAUUAUUUCAUGUAUAAAUCUAGACCAUAUCAUAGAUGAACCUUAAACCAGCAUCUGCUCUUCCAUUCAAGAGCAGUAAAAGGGGCAGUGCAUUCCUCGUGCUUUUGAUGUCCUGCUUACGAGUGGCUGUCUGGGAAGAAGUUAAAAAUACUUCCUCACAAAAUACUGAAUUUCACAAUAAAAACAAUUGAUUACAUCCAUUGGAAUGAUCCAUCGUGGAGCAUCAUGGAGAAAGAUAACUUUUGGCAGAGGAAGCGAGGCAACCAAUAUUGAUAAAAGCAAGUAGAUGAGCAGGAGGAAAAGAUUGCUCAUAUAUAGAGAAGGAUAAAUGGAUUUGAUAAACGUAUGUACCAGAAAAAUGGACAACCAUGUAUCUGUCACGGUAUCAGGAAAUGCUAUGAUUCUGAGUGCCUGACUACUACUGGUGUCUCGGUUGUAAAAGGAAGUCAGACUGGAGGAGUUCCUUGGUUAAGGUGGUAAGAGGGAGAUUUUUUUUCCAGAGGAAAACCUUACAUUGUAUCUGAGCAAUCAAUGGGAAGCUAAAGAGCACAUGCUGUCAGCACAGAUUAAUCUGGAAUUCCUUCACCUCUUCAGAUCCUUGUGCAUCAAACAUUAGUUUGCAUCAAAAGUUGGAACAGUGACUCAAAGAUCUCAGGAGUUCACAAAACUACAAGAGCAAAUCAAGGAAAAUGCCUCCCAUUUCUAUGGCCUGCAGACUUCAAAACCUGUAAUUGUGCUGGAAGUCUUUGAUCUCACCAUUACUCCUCUGUCGACUUUGAAGUCAAAAGGAUAGGGUUAUUGCAGUGGGAUCCUGAUGUGUCAAGUGUUAAUUCCCCGCAGCCACAUUCAAGGCACACCGUAUUAGCUACUGACCACUAAGUGCUAAAGGGUGUAACCACAUGUAGAGUUUUCCUCCUGCUCAGGGUUUCACACAUCAGUAGUUUCAGUGCACAGUUUGUUACUAACAGAGAGGUCACUGCAGACCACUGAUGCAUAGGACCUCAGGAAUGUGUUUUCUGGGACAAACGGGCAAUUAUGUAUUUUUAAUAAUCAAUUCUUACAGCUGAGCAAGAGUUAAAACGAUGUCAAAAACUAACCUGAAUAGUAGCAAAUGUUAUUUUUGGAACCUAGGAGGGAGCCCAGGGAAGAGGAGGGAUGAGCAGAGGCUGGCACAUGGGGAGCUGUGCCUGCUGACCCCUGGCACGGGACCUAACUGCUGCAGGUUGGUACCAGCAUCUCCUUCAUGCAGCAGAUGAGAAAGAGAAAAAUGGAAAGUGAUUCAUUUAUAUGGCUUGUAAAAUAUUUAUUUGUGUGCUGUGUUUGAGGAGAAUCGAUCUCUGGAGAGUGUGAGGUUUCUCCACCUCAGACAAAUUAGGUUGGAAGUAAGAGGUGAGUGGAGUGAAAUGGCACUGAGCUCUGAUCACCGGAGGGGUGAGACCACAGUAGGACUGAGCCACGAGGUCCUGAGCCAGCACCUGUAGCUUUUGACUUCACUGGAUGUAAACUUUAGAUCUUUCAGUAGACUUGGUCUUCAGUGACUUGCCUUAAGUGUUAUGUUAAAGCGAGGUAAAUAAUGUCAGCGGCAAAAUGGUUUAUUCUUUUUAUUUCCACCAUUAUUUUUCAGUGUGUGUUGAAGGAGAAUACAGCAGUGAGCACAAGAAUUCUUGCUUUGUUCCUCCACAGAGCCCCAUCGCUCCACAGCAUCGCUCCUAACUUUUGUCAUGCUGCAAUGAAGCAUCCCUGGAGUUCUGCAAUGGUUCCUAUGUGGCUGGAGUGGCUUUCUUAUUUCAACCUCUUGAGCAUCGAUUGUUGAGUCGCUUCCUCAUCAUUAAAAGCUCGUCAGGGACAAGCUCUGGAGUUCAGAAGCUCUGUGCAGUCACCACGGCCUUCGGAUGCCCCAAGGGCACCAGCAGAGAGGAACGAGUGUGGCGAGAGCGCAGGCAGCUGUGAGCACACUGCAAUGUCAUUGCUGAUAUCUUCUCUGUGUUUUUAAAUACCAGUACAACAAAUGCCAGCACUGAACCAGAGGGAAAACUGAUGGCAUUCGGGGAUCACUGAAUGGAGGACUGGGCAUUCAGAGCUUCAUACUGCCCAGCAGUGAGAAGCAGACAUACGCUUUGCUGAUCUCAUGUACUCCUCCACCAUAAAAAGCUGCUCGCAGUUACAGUGAUGUUUCUAGAAGGUGAGUAUAUGUAUGUCAGGAGAAAAAAUAACACUUGCAUUGAAGGAUGAUUUAAGAUUAUUCUUCCACACUUCUGUAUAAGAUUGGAUCUAUUGUAACCUUCCUAAACCUUUGUUACCUUUGUAAUUUAAACUGACAGGUUAAAUGCUAAUGCAAUUGAUAGGGGUGAACAACUGGUCAAGGAACAACCUGAUCUGACUGUAUAAUGCAUCGGAGAAUUGCAAAAAUAUGCAGGUCAGAUGUAAUUUUGACAGAAAAUGGCUCGCUGCAAGGGUUUAUGUUUCCCUGGAUAGUCUUAAAAAGAGUUGGACUCUAGUAAGUACCACAUUGCUUGAAAAAAAUACAAAGUUAAACUUAAUGGAAAAAAUC
Gallus gallus (chicken) is the source of this 8957-nucleotide long non-coding RNA. RefSeq lists it as uncharacterized. The transcript has 5 exons. Lineage: Eukaryota; Metazoa; Chordata; Aves; Galliformes; Phasianidae. The record is from RefSeq and is a predicted model, not a curated record.